RNAcentral lists this ribosomal RNA (473 nucleotides) under uncultured bacterium. RNAcentral describes it as "bacterial SSU rRNA". It matches the Rfam family "Bacterial small subunit ribosomal RNA", at positions 355 to 825 of the family's 1533-position model. The record is from RNAcentral.
UGGGGAAUUUUUCGCAAUGGGGGAAACCCUGACGAAGCAACGCCGCGUGGAGGAUGAAGGCCUUCGGGUCGUAAACUCCUGUCGACCGGGACGAACGCUAUUGGGCCCAAUACGCCCGAUAGUCGACUGUACCAGUGGAGGAAGCCACGGCUAACUCUGUGCCAGCAGCCGCGGUAAUACAGAGGUGGCAAGCGUUGUUCGGAAUUACUGGGCGUAAAGGGCGCGUAGGCGGUCCUGUCAGUCCCUUGUGAAAUCCCCCGGCUCAACUGGGGAACUGCAAGGGAUACAGCAGGGCUUGAGUUCGGGAGAGGGAAGCGGAAUUCCGGGUGUAGCGAUGAAAUGCGUAGAUAUCAGGAGGAACACCCGUGGCGAAGGCGGAUCUCUGGACCGGUUCUGACGCUGAGGAGCGAAAGCUAGGGGAGCAAACAGGAUUAGAUACCCCCGUAGUCCCUGAGCGGGCUGGCAAGGCGCAU